UAUCUCUCCGUACGGGGAAGGAUGAGAAGCUUCGACUAAGGUUCGAUUCGAGCGCAGCGAGAAAGCGUUGCCGUAGGCAACGACCCGAAG
Molecule: small RNA, 90 nt
Filed under: Salmonella enterica
Lineage: Bacteria; Pseudomonadati; Pseudomonadota; Gammaproteobacteria; Enterobacterales; Enterobacteriaceae
Also listed under: 2 other names
Description: partial RtT sRNA
Rfam family: RtT RNA
About the family: This family represents a bacterial cis-regulatory element known as RtT RNA. The exact function of RtT is unknown although it is thought that it may be involved in changing the cellular response in relation to amino acid starvation.
Source: RNAcentral